CCUACGGGAGGCAGCAGUGGGGAAUAUUGCACAAUGGGCGAAAGCCUGAUGCAGCGACGCCGCGUGAGGGAUGACGGCCUUCGGGUUGUAAACCUCUUUCAGCAGGGAAGAAGCGAAAGUGACGGUACCUGCAGAAGAAGCGCCGGCUAACUACGUGCCAGCAGCCGCGGUAAUACGUAGGGCGCAAGCGUUGUCCGGAAUUAUUGGGCGUAAAGAGCUCGUAGGCGGCUUGUCACGUCGGAUGUGAAAGCCCGAGGCUUAACCUCGGGUCUGCAUUCGAUACGGGCUAGCUAGAGUGUGGUAGGGGAGAUCGGAAUUCCUGGUGUAGCGGUGAAAUGCGCAGAUAUCAGGAGGAACACCGGUGGCGAAGGCGGAUCUCUGGGCCAUUACUGACGCUGAGGAGCGAAAGCGUAGGGGAGCGAACAGGAUUAGAUACCCUGGUAGUCCACGCCGUAAACGUUGGGAACUAGGUGUUGGCGACAUUCCACGUCGUCGGUGCCGCAGCUAACGCAUUAAGUUCCCCGCCUGGGGAGUACGGCCGCAAGGCUAAAACUCAAACGAGUAGUAGCGUCGAGAGCGCGACGAGACACGACGGAGGUUAGG
RNAcentral lists this ribosomal RNA (603 nucleotides) under uncultured bacterium. Its description in RNAcentral is "bacterial SSU rRNA". It matches the Rfam family "Bacterial small subunit ribosomal RNA", at positions 338 to 953 of the family's 1533-position model. The record is from RNAcentral.